AACAAACGCUGGCGGCGUGCCUAAUACAUGCAAGUCGAACGAGGAAAGCUUUCGGGUGAGUACUAGUGGCGCACGGGUGAGGAAUAUAUGGGUAAUCUGCCCUCGAGUUGGGGAUAACCAGUCGAAAGACUGGCUAAUACCGAAUAAGACCACAGGAUCUGCGGAUCUAGGGGUUAAAGGUUUUUCGCUUGAGGAUGAGCCCAUACGGGAUUAGCUAGUUGGCGAGGUAAUGGCUCACCAAGGCUACGAUCCCUAACUGGUCUUAGAGGAUGAUCAGUCACACUGGAACUGAGACACGGUCCAGACUCCUACGGGAGGCAGCAGUAGGGAAUAUUGCACAAUGGGGGAAACCCUGAUGCAGCGACGCCGCGUGAGUGAUGAAGGCCUUCGGGUCGUAAAGCUCUGUCGAAUGGGACUAACACAAUGAAGGUACCAUGCAAGAAAGGAUCGGCUGACUUCGUGCCAGCAGCCGCCGUAA
This 478-nucleotide ribosomal RNA is filed under the name uncultured bacterium. Its description in RNAcentral is "partial 16S ribosomal RNA". It matches the Rfam family "Bacterial small subunit ribosomal RNA", at positions 29 to 523 of the family's 1533-position model. The record is from RNAcentral.